CCUACGGGAGGCAGCAGUGGGGAAUUUUGGACAAUGGGGGCAACCCUGAUCCAGCCAUGCCGCGUGUGUGAAGAAGGCCUUCGGGUUGUAAAGCACUUUCGGCCGGAACGAAAUCGCGCCCGCGAAUAUCGUGCGUGGAUGACGGUACCGGAAGAAGAAGCACCGGCUAACUACGUGCCAGCAGCCGCGGUAAUACGUAGGGUGCAAGCGUUAAUCGGAAUUACUGGGCGUAAAGCGUGCGCAGGCGGCUUCGCAAGUCAGGCGUGAAAUCCCCGAGCUCAACUUGGGAAUGGCGCUUGAAACUGCGAGGCUAGAGUGUGGCAGAGGGAGGUAGAAUUCCACGUGUAGCAGUGAAAUGCGUAGAUAUGUGGAGGAAUACCGAUGGCGAAGGCAGCCUCCUGGGCCAACACUGACGCUCAUGCACGAAGACGUGGGAGGACGAACAGGAGUAGUAUACCUCGUAGUACCACCGACCCUAACCUACUGUCUAACUAGUUGUUGGGGUAGGUUAAGUACCUUACGUAACG
Molecule: ribosomal RNA, 527 nt
Filed under: uncultured bacterium
Lineage: Bacteria
Description: bacterial SSU rRNA
Rfam family: Bacterial small subunit ribosomal RNA
Source: RNAcentral